This is a long non-coding RNA of Hippocampus comes (tiger tail seahorse), 183 nucleotides long. RefSeq lists it as uncharacterized. The transcript is spliced from 2 exons. Lineage: Eukaryota; Metazoa; Chordata; Actinopteri; Syngnathiformes; Syngnathidae. The record is from RefSeq and is a predicted model, not a curated record.
CUCUUGAGAAAUUUCCAGCAAUGGUGUGCAUAAAUCAACAGUUGUGUGCUGUUUGCUGCUUGCUGCUUGCACCGAUGGACCUCUCCUUCAAGCCCCUUUUGGCCCAGGGGGUGACAGGAUGACUGACAGGCAGAGGAGUCCGUCUCGGAACCUCUGGCAUUGUAAAGAGUUGACCUUAUUGAG